RNAcentral lists this ribosomal RNA (497 nucleotides) under uncultured bacterium. RNAcentral's name for it is "partial 16S ribosomal RNA". It matches the Rfam family "Bacterial small subunit ribosomal RNA", at positions 28 to 507 of the family's 1533-position model. The record is from RNAcentral.
GACGAACGCUGGCGGCGUGCCUAAUACAUGCAAGUCGAGCGAACGGACGAGAAGCUUGCUUCUCUGAUGUUAGCGGCGGACGGGUGAGUAACACGUGGAUAACCUACCUAUAAGACUGGGAUAACUUCGGGAAACCGUAGCUAAUACCGGAUAAUAUUUUGAACCGCAUGGUUCAAAAGUGAAAGACGGUCUUGCUGUCACUUAUAGAUGGAUCCGCGCUGCAUUAGCUAGUUGGUAAGGUAACGGCUUACCAAGGCAACGAUGCAUAGCCGACCUGAGAGGGUGAUCGGCCACACUGGAACUGAGACACGGUCCAGACUCCUACGGGAGGCAGCAGUAGGGAAUCUUCCGCAAUGGGCGAAAGCCUGACGGAGCAACGCCGCGUGAGUGAUGAAGGUCUUCGGAUCGUAAAACUCUGUUAUUAGGGAAGAACAUAUGUGUAAGUAACUGUGCACAUCUUGACGGUACCUAAUCAGAAAGCCACGGCUAACUACGUG